AAUUAUUAAACCCUUUCGGGUUAGCAUGAAAAGAAGACCAGAGCAGCCUCUGAGCCAAGCAACAGGGCGCAGAUAAUUAACGGAAACAACUUCCACUUGCCUUUUAAAAAUAUUUAUAGUCGUCUCUUUUUCUGAACCCAAGGCCAUUAGCAUUAUUAAUUAUCAUUAAGAAAGGAUUGUGGUUAAUGACAAAUUCGAAUCUCCUGUUCAUGCAAGUACUCAAGUCUCUGUAGUAAAACUAAGGAGGAGGAAUAAUGAUGCGUAUCCAAUGAUGUGGAGUGGUGAAGAUCCAAAUCCAAACAAGCACACAGUGCGCAACAAUUGGAACCUAAGCGAGUUUCGUCAGAAAAAGGAUAACAAAGCCCACGAGGUACACCUCAUUCUGUUUUCCUUUUUUUGUUCGAAAUUAAAAAAAAGGAAAAAAGAAGAAAGAAAAAGUUUAGGAACUCGGCAUAACAGUGGCACAUAUUCACAUCAUUAUUAUUUCAUUUGAAAACCAAGACAGCGAUGUUUAUGCUUAUGCUUGUGACGCUGAAGACGAAAGCCUGGUGGAUUCAGCUGCAAACUCUUUCUCACUAGCACUCAAAGGUAUCAUAUACCAAUCCAAAAGCCCCUUUUUGCGCCCCCUGAUUUAAUCAUUUUUUUUUUAAUCCCUAGGAUUUUACUUUUCCUUUUAUCGAUAAAGAAUGUCAAGAUAGGAGAUCAAGAUUUGAAGCGUGAUCAGCCUGGUGCAUUGGAUCUGGGCAUUUUACAAUGCAAAGCCAAAAGGGUUGGAGCUCUGGAAGAGUUGCUCUGCAUGUGAAUGGUACUCCAACUCCAAGGAAGAACAUUGGCGGCGGAGCUAUGCUGCCGUUUAAUAAUGGGAGAGGACUACCUUCAAAGUGGGAAGACGCUGAAAGAUGGAUUCUAAGCCCUGUAGGUAGAGAUGGUGUUAGUGGGAAUUUGGUUUCACCACACCAUAGGAGACCAAAGUCAAAGAGUGGUCCACUUGGUCCACCAGGUGUUGCUUAUUAUUCAAUGUAUUCUCCGGCAGUGCCACUCUUUGGAGGAAGGCAUUCCGCUAAUUUGGCCGGGCCUUCUCCGUUUUCACCAGCUGUAGCUUCAUCUGAUUCAUUCACAAACCGCUCCGGUGGUGGCCGUGGUGUUGUCGUUCUGCCCACCACAGAGCCUACUUUGCUCCGGUCCGCUAGUGUCCAUGGAUGUUCUGAAAUGCAGAGUGAACCAUCAGCGCCUGAUCAAGAGGAUAAGCUUCAUAGCUUCAAAGAUGUGGGCACCGAUGUAUCUGGUGCUGUUUCGAGGAGGGACAUGGCAACCCAGAUGAGCCCACAGGGUAGCCAAUGCUCCUCUCCCAAUUUGAGGUCUUCUUUCUCUACCUCCACUCCGUCUUCGUCGACCUUCACAGAAUGGCGGAAUGUUGCUUCCUCUAAAAUGGAUAUAAGGGAUGUUCAGGUAGAUGAACAUGUCACUGCAACAAAGUGGUCCAAGAAACACAGGGCCUUAUUUUCUGGCAGAGGCUCAGAAAAUUUUGAAAGCAAGCAAAAGAAAGAAAUUAGAAAUCUAGCUUCAGCUUGGGAUAUUGCUGAAACGCCAAAAACUGCCUCUAAGGCUGAAAGGGAGGAAGCCAAAAUCAAUGCAUGGGAGAACUUGCAAAAGGCAAAAGCUGAGACAGCAAUACGGAAACUAGAGGGGCUCGUAUUUUGGAAUUAUCCCUUAUCGUUUUGCUGAUUAGAAAGCCCUAUUAUAUAAUUAUGAUCAUAGAUUGUGUGGAUUACAUUAUUGACGAAAAGAUAAGUUCGUAAAUGUAAUAAUGAAGCUAGAAAAGAAGAGAGCAUACUCUAUAGACAAGAUUAUGAACAAGCUUAAAUUGGCACAGAAAAAGGCUGAGGAAAUGAGAAGUUCAGUUAUAAACAUAGAAGCUGAUGCUGAUCAAGUUGUACAAACGUCUCGCAAGGCUAAAUUAUUUCUUAGAAUCAGUCAGAUGGGUUCAUUGAGUGGUUGUUUCAACUGGCAUGCCUCUUAAAGCAUACUUCAAGUGCAAUUUGAGUGAUAUAUUGGGUAUGUUCCUCUGUAAUUUAUUAUCGUUGCUGUUUGCAAUCUAUGAAACAACAAAAUUCAUGUAAUAUAUUCAUUUGUUAGUGAAAAAUGGAGUUAAAAGUUUUGUAUUUC
Non-coding RNA from Arachis ipaensis, 2166 nucleotides. Lineage: Eukaryota; Viridiplantae; Streptophyta; Magnoliopsida; Fabales; Fabaceae. The record is from RefSeq and is a predicted model, not a curated record.